UCCAAGAAGCUGAAAUUCCCUGAUCAAACAGUUAGAAAUAACAUGGAUUAUCACAAAUGAAUUUCAGUUGGAAGAAAAUUGAUCUUUUCCUUUGCUUUUGUGAUUUGAAUAUUGAUCUCUGUAUACAUUUGACAGCAGCGCUGGCUCAUAUGCUGAAAAUUUGUAUGUACAGAAAAAAUUUCAUUGGAGAACCAAAUAAUUGAAUAGUAGACGAGUUAAAAAGAACAAACUGAAAAAUACCUCCAGCACAAUCAAGCAGCUUACACAUUAUCAGAGGCAGUAACAUCUUCCUUCACAUUAUAAUGUACUCAAAAGCAAAAUCAUGUUUGGUAACAGAGUUUAAAACAAAUCACGUUGUAGAAUUCAAUUCAAUUCUGUCAAGAGUCCAUGAAUUCACAUGUAUGGAAUUAUUGUUCUUAUAAUAAUAAAAUUCAAUUAAAUUUGAGCGUUUGAAAUUAUUGAAAGGUGAAUUGAAGUUAUGUAAUUUAAUUAUCUUUUUGGUUUUAAAGAAUGGCCACACCAUCGCCGCUAAGUGAAUGUUUACUCACUUUGAAUUUCAAUUGUUGAAAAAUGCAUACCACUCAACAGAAUUUCCAAACAUGAAAAUUGAGCAAAUAGAAUUGAACUCUUUUAGGAAUUGAUGCCCACAUUUGGACUUGCAAUUUUGGAGUAAGAUGGGCUGGAAAACCAGGAUAGACUACAAAAUGCAAACCAGAACAACUUGCUUCAUUUAGAAAACCAAUAGCGCCUAAAUCAAAUUUAGGCAAAAGUUUCAGGCAGCAUAAUUUUUACAAGAAACGGGACAUUCACUCUAGAGAAGCAUGCAAAUGAUCCUGCAAUAACAAAUUACAAAAUAAGUUGCAAAUACCUGAUUGAUGGAAUGCUGCAGAUCCUACAAUCCUUGUUUGUCCCAACUCACAUGGAAUUCUGAUUGCUGGGUUGCUGCAGAGCCUUCAUUAAUUUAUCUUUUAAGCAACGGUCUCGCAGUAG
Molecule: unclassified non-coding RNA, 990 nt
Filed under: Hevea brasiliensis (rubber tree)
Lineage: Eukaryota; Viridiplantae; Streptophyta; Magnoliopsida; Malpighiales; Euphorbiaceae
Source: RNAcentral